UACGUAGGGGGCAAGCGUUGUCCGGAUUUAUUGGGCGUAAAGAGCGUGUAGGCGGCUAGGUAGGUCCGUUGUGAAAACUCGAGGCUCAACCUCGAGACGUCGAUGGAAACCAUCUGGCUAGAGUCCGGAAGAGGAGAGUGGAAUUCCUGGUGUAGCGGUGAAAUGCGCAGAUAUCAGGAAGAACACCCGUGGCGAAGGCGGCUCGCUGGGACGGUACUGACGCUGAGACGCGAAAGCGUGGGGAGCGAACAGG
Molecule: ribosomal RNA, 253 nt
Filed under: uncultured bacterium
Lineage: Bacteria
Description: partial 16S ribosomal RNA
Rfam family: Bacterial small subunit ribosomal RNA
Source: RNAcentral